UACAGAGGGUGCAAGCGUUGCUCGGAAUCACUGGGCGUAAAGGGUGCGUAGGCGGGUCUUUAAGUCAGGGGGGAAAUCCUGGAGCUCAACUCCAGAACUGCCUUUGAUACUGAAGAUCUUGAGUUCGGGAGAGGUGAGUGGAACUGCGAGUGUAGAGGUGAAAUUCGUAGAUAUUCGCAAGAACACCAGUGGCGAAGGCGGCUCACUGGCCCGAUACUGACGCUGAGGCACGAAAGCGUGGGGAGCAAACAGG
This 253-nucleotide ribosomal RNA is filed under the name uncultured bacterium. Its description in RNAcentral is "partial 16S ribosomal RNA". It matches the Rfam family "Bacterial small subunit ribosomal RNA", at positions 524 to 776 of the family's 1533-position model. The record is from RNAcentral.